CUGCACACACUGGAGGGCCCUUCCCAGUCCCCACAUUCCAGAUUCAUCUGUCACCAGACCCACGGGAGGAGGCAGACUGGUUCCAGGAGGAUGAGAGCCCUUGUUCUGACACCUGUGUCUGAUUCCAUGAUUCCAGGACCUGCAAAUCCUCUCUGGACUACACCAAACGAAGUCUGGGAAUUUUCAUUGACCUCCAGAAGAAAAAGGAGGCGGCACAUGCCUGGCUGCAAGCAGGGAAGAUCUAUUACAUCCUGCGGCAGAGCGAGCUGGUGGACCUGUACAUCCAGGUGGCACAGAAUGUGGACCUGUACACAGGCAACCUCAACCUGGGGCUGGAGCUGUUUGAGGCAGCUGGAGACAUCUUCUUCAAUGGGGCCUGGGAGCGGGAGGAAGGCAUGUCCUUCUACCGGGACUGGGCCCUGCCCCGGCAGUGACUACGGGCAACCGCAAGGUGGAGCUGCAGCUACAGCUGUGCCACAAGCUGGUGUCACUGCUGGCCACACUGGAGGAGCCCCAGGAGGACUUGGAGUUUGCCUACAUGGCCCUAGCACUCAGGAUCACUCUGGGGGACCGGCCUAACGAGCGCGUGGCCUACCACCAGCUGGAUGCCCUGCACCACUGGCUGGGCCAUGGCAAGCUGGCGGAGCACUUCUACCUCAAGGCCGUUUAGCUCUGCAACUCGCCACUGGAGUUCGACGAGGAGACCCUCUACUAAGUGAAGGUGUACCUGGUGCUCGGUGACAUUAUCUUCUACGACCUGAAGGUGGGUGGAGAGGGACAGGGCUCGGGGUGUUCCUGACCCCCUUGGAGUGGGAUCUCCACCCAGACCCCAGAGGCCUGGGUUCCAGCCUUAGGAAUGGCCCAGUGGCCUCCCUGGAGCUCUACACCCAGCUGGAGGAGCCGGCAAGGUUAGUGGGUAAAACCCAGCUCCCCAGAUGGCCAGGCCCCACCCUCAGGAACUCAGUCUCAGCCAGGGAGGCUGACACAUGAGUGGGCAAUGGUGGCCUCUGGGUAAAGAAGGGGGAUUGUAGUCAGGGGGGCCCUCCUGGAGGAGGUGACACCAAAGCUGAGUCUUGACAGUCAAGUGUCAAGUUGCAUUUAACAAAGAACAGAGUCGGGAGAAGGACAUUUCGGAGGAUGGCAUCAUCCUCACAUUGACUCCACGUUGCAAGAUCCAACCCAAAUCCUGGCACCUCCUCUAGGAAGCCUGCCCAGGGUGCCAGCCUGCACUGAGCAACUCCUUCCUGGAGUCCCGAGACACCUUGAAUCUUCACACCACCCAGGAAGGGUGGGGUGGGACCAGUAUCUUACCAUUGGGUUCACAGACAGGGAAACCCCAGCUCAGGGCAGGUGCAGUGGGGCAGGGCCCCAGCCAACCAGGCUGAGGCCUUGCUGGGUCGGGUGUGUCUCGAGAGGAGGUGCUGUGCUCCCUCUGCCCCAGCCCUGCAGGGGUGGAGAGCUGGGACUGGCAGACUCAGACCUGGGGUGUCUCCACCCCUCUGCCCAGCAGGCACCGCCCCUCCUCAGCAUUGCACCGGCACCGCGUCAGUGCUCCUUAUGGGCUGAGGGGCCAGGGCACUCCAGUCCAGGGGCCGAGAUCUUGGGGGCCUUAGAACAACAUGAGGAGCUGGGGCAGCCCUAAGACCCUGCCCUGUAUCCCCUACGACAGGCCUGGGGCUGCCCGGGAGGCCUCAGCCCAGUGCUGGCGACACCUGAUUGUCAGAAGUGGUCCCUGUGGCCUCCCAAGUCCCAGCCAGACAUGGAGGUGCCAGGUGUCAGGCCCAGAGGGACGCUGCUCACCGCUCAGGGGCUCGCCUGGGACCCAGGGGGACGGACCUCCCAGAAGAGGCCUUUAUCUCUCUUGGUCAAGCCUGCCGCCCACUCCGCCUGUCCAGGAGAAAGGAAAGGGCCAAGUAGUACCUGAGACGCCAAAGUCCACGGUUGGGGUCGAGGGGCAGAGGCCUCCUUCACCUCCUUCCCAUGCCCAGCCCUCCUUUCCAUGCACAGUCCUCCUUCACCUCCUUCCCAUGCACAGCCCUCCUUCCCAUGCACAGUCCUCCUUCCCAUGCACAGCCCUCCUUCCCAUGCACAGUCCUCCUUCAUCUCCUUCCCAUGCACUGUCCUCUUUCCCAUGCACAGCCUUCCUUUACCUCCUUCGCAUGCACAGCCCUCCUUCCCAUGCACAGUCCUCCUUCCCAUGCACAGCCCUCCUUCCCAUGCACAGCCCUCCUUCCCAUGCACAGCCCUCCUUCAUCUCCUUCCCAUGCACAGUCCUCUUUCCCAUGCACAGCCUUCCUUCACCUCCUUCCCAUGCACAGCCCUCCUUCACCUCCUUCCCAUGCACAGCCCUCCUUCA
Non-coding RNA from Chlorocebus sabaeus (green monkey), 2356 nucleotides. The record is from RefSeq and is a predicted model, not a curated record. NCBI's taxonomy places the organism in Eukaryota, Metazoa, Chordata, Mammalia, Primates, Cercopithecidae.